This 46-nucleotide non-coding RNA is filed under the name Schistosoma bovis. Lineage: Eukaryota; Metazoa; Platyhelminthes; Trematoda; Strigeidida; Schistosomatidae. The record is from RNAcentral. RNAcentral also lists the same sequence under 1 other name.
ACACCUCCGAAGAGUCCCAAAAUAGGACGAAACGGCCGUCCAGUAC